CCAAUAGCGUAUAUUAAAGUUGUUGCAGUUAAAAAGCUCGUAGUUGAAUUUUGGGUCUGGCCGGGCGGUCCGCCCUCUGGGUGAGCACUGUUCCGACGUCGGGCCUAUCCUUCUGGUGAGUCGGCAUGUCCUUUAUUGGGUGUGUCGGGGAACCAGGACCAUUACCUUGAAAAAAUUAGAGUGUUCAAAGCAGGCGUAUGCUCGGAUACAUUAGCAUGGAAUAAUGAAAUAGGACGCGUGGUGCUAUUUUGUUGGUUUCUAGAACCGCCGUAAUGAUUAAUAGGGAUAGUUGGGGGCAUUAGUAUUCAAUUGUCAGAGGUGAAAUUCUUGGAUUUAGUGAAGACUAACUUCUGCGAAAGCAUUUGCCAAGGAUGUUUUCAUUAAUCAAGAACGAAAGUUAGGGGAUCGAAGACGAUCAGAUACCGUCGUAGUCUUAACCAUAAACUAUGCCGACUAGGAAUCGGGCGAUGUUAUUCUCAUGACUCGCCCGGCGCCUUAUG
RNAcentral lists this ribosomal RNA (500 nucleotides) under uncultured Glomeromycotina. RNAcentral's name for it is "partial small subunit ribosomal RNA". It matches the Rfam family "Eukaryotic small subunit ribosomal RNA", at positions 591 to 1092 of the family's 1831-position model. Lineage: Eukaryota; Fungi; Glomeromycota. The record is from RNAcentral.